RNAcentral lists this ribosomal RNA (484 nucleotides) under uncultured bacterium. RNAcentral describes it as "partial 16S ribosomal RNA". It matches the Rfam family "Bacterial small subunit ribosomal RNA", at positions 30 to 507 of the family's 1533-position model. The record is from RNAcentral.
AUUGAACGCUGGCGGCAGGCCUAACACAUGCAAGUCGAGCGGAUGAAGGGAGCUUGCUCCUGGAUUCAGCGGCGGACGGGUGAGUAAUGCCUAGGAAUCUGCCUGGUAGUGGGGGAUAACGUCCGGAAACGGGCGCUAAUACUGCAUACGUCCUGAGGGAGAAAGUGGGGGAUCUUCGGACCUCACGCUCUCAGAUGAGCCUAGGUCGGAUUAGCUAGUUGGUGGGGUAAAGGCCUACCAAGGCGACGAUCCGUAACUGGUCUGAGAGGAUGAUCAGUCACACUGGAGCUGAGACACGGUCCAGACUCCUACGGGAGGCAGCAGUGGGGAAUAUUGGACAAUGGGCGAAAGCCUGAUCCAGCCAUGCCGCGUGUGUGAAGAAGGUCUUCGGAUUGUAAAGCACUUUAAGUUGGGAGGAAGGGCAGUAAGUUAAUACCUUGCUGUUUUGACGUUACCAGCAGAAUAAGCACCGGCUAACUUCGUG